AAAACAAACCUCCUCCUGGAAGUUGACCUCGGAUCAGGUA
RNAcentral lists this ribosomal RNA (40 nucleotides) under Ophiocordyceps xuefengensis. RNAcentral's name for it is "partial 28S ribosomal RNA". The record is from RNAcentral. Lineage: Eukaryota; Fungi; Ascomycota; Sordariomycetes; Hypocreales; Ophiocordycipitaceae.